AUUUGAGCUAAUAUAUUAUUUUUUGUUGUUGAAAAAAUUAAAAAAAAAUUAUAAGUUAUAAUAAUUAAAAUUCUAAAAAAGGAUUAUUUGUUUUUUAGUUAAAUAUUAUAAAUAUAAUGGUUUAAAAAAGAGAAAUUUUGAUUAGAAUAAUAUUAGUUUUUUUUUAUAUUUUUUAUAAUAAUUGUUUAUUUUUUAUAAUUAUUUUUUUUUAUAAAAAUAAUUUAAUUAUUAUUAUUUUAUUUAAAAAAAUUAAUUAAAUUAAUUUUUUUGUUAAAUUAGUUCUAAAUAUAAAAUGUUUUUUAAAAUCUGAUGAAUUUUUGGUUUUAAUUUUUUAUCUCUGCUCAGUAGUUUAUUGAAUGG
Molecule: ribosomal RNA, 360 nt
Filed under: Meloidogyne chitwoodi
Lineage: Eukaryota; Metazoa; Nematoda; Chromadorea; Rhabditida; Meloidogynidae
Description: partial 16S ribosomal RNA
Source: RNAcentral